This 305-nucleotide ribosomal RNA is filed under the name uncultured bacterium. RNAcentral's name for it is "bacterial SSU rRNA". It matches the Rfam family "Bacterial small subunit ribosomal RNA", at positions 335 to 640 of the family's 1533-position model. The record is from RNAcentral.
UUCCUAGGGAGGCAGCAGUGAGGAAUAUUGGUCAAUGGCCGGAAGGCUGAACCAGCCAAGCCGCGUGAAGGACGAAGGUGCCAAGCAUUGUAAACUUCUUUUGUCAAGGGACAAAAUCAGGCUCGAGAGCCUGACCGAGGGUACUUGAAGAAAAAGCAUCGGCUAACUCCGUGCCAGCAGCCGCGGUAAUACGGAGGAUGCGAGCGUUAUCCGGAUUUAUUGGGUUUAAAGGGUGCGCAGGCGGCCUGUUAAGUCAGCGGUAAAAGCCCGGGGAUCAACCCCGGCGAGCCGCUGAAACUGGCGGG